UCCAAGGGUAUUGUGGUCUUUGUGAUCAUCUAUUACAAAUAGUGAAAUCCAUAGGCUAUUCCAUAUUAAAAUCUUCAAAAGAUCUCUACUCAAGAAAGCUAUUUCACAUCCUUUCUUGGAGUCGAUGUCGUACAUCACCUCAGUAUAGGUUCUAGGAUCAUCUCUAUGAUCCCUAUCUCCUAUGAGAAAUAAUUUUCUCUACAUCCACUGUUAUUUCGAGA
RNAcentral lists this long non-coding RNA (221 nucleotides) under Elaeis guineensis (African oil palm). RNAcentral describes it as "long non-coding RNA (EGUI_LNC047642)". Lineage: Eukaryota; Viridiplantae; Streptophyta; Magnoliopsida; Arecales; Arecaceae. The record is from RNAcentral.